This is a long non-coding RNA of Hevea brasiliensis (rubber tree), 425 nucleotides long. RefSeq lists it as uncharacterized. The record is from RefSeq and is a predicted model, not a curated record. The transcript is spliced from 2 exons. Lineage: Eukaryota; Viridiplantae; Streptophyta; Magnoliopsida; Malpighiales; Euphorbiaceae.
UCAAAAAGCACAAAAAAAAAAAAAGAAAGUUAAAAGAGCAGUGCAAAUUAUUUUAAGGAGACAACUGGAAAUGGCAAGCAAGGUAGCUGCAGUGCUAGUCAUGUGCCUUGUUGUAAUUGCCGCUGUCCAGCUUCCUCAGGCUGCGGCUGACAAAUUUGGCUCAUGCUUCAACACUUGCGAAGAAGAGUGCAAAGCUGGAGGACAAGGUCAGACUUUCUGUGAAAUGAAGUGCGACACUGACUGCUUCGAUAAAGAAAUUGCCGCAAAGUUAAGUGCGAAGACUCCCUGAGCGAUCAAGGCGCACUUGGUGGAUUACAACUCCCUAGCUAUAGCCCCCAAUAAAAUGAGAUAAUUUCAUUAACUAUAUUUGUAUUCUUUAUCAUCUCCAAUAAAACUAUAUAAUCUACCAAGUUUUCUCUUCCCCA